CACGCAGUAAACGAUGAUCACUAGCUGUUUGCGAUACACGGUAAGCGGCACAGCGAAAGCGUUAAGUGAUCCACCUGGGGAGUACGCCGGCAACGGUGAAACUCAAAGGAAUUGACGGGG
Molecule: ribosomal RNA, 120 nt
Filed under: uncultured bacterium
Lineage: Bacteria
Description: partial 16S ribosomal RNA
Rfam family: Bacterial small subunit ribosomal RNA
Source: RNAcentral